RNAcentral lists this ribosomal RNA (429 nucleotides) under Fusobacteriota bacterium. Its description in RNAcentral is "Fusobacteria bacterium partial 16S ribosomal RNA". It matches the Rfam family "Bacterial small subunit ribosomal RNA", at positions 355 to 776 of the family's 1533-position model. The record is from RNAcentral. Lineage: Bacteria; Fusobacteriati; Fusobacteriota.
UGGGGAAUAUUGCGCAAUGGGCGAAAGCCUGACGCAGCGACGCCGCGUGAGGGAUGAAGGUUUUCGGAUCGUAAACCUCUGUCAGAAGGGAAGAAACCGCACUGUGCUAAUCAGCAGUGCCUUGAGGGUACCUUCAAAGGAAGCACCGGCUAACUCCGUGCCAGCAGCCGCGGUAAUACGGAGGGUGCAAGCGUUAAUCGGAAUUACUGGGCGUAAAGCGCACGUAGGCUGCUUUGUAAGUCAGGGGUGAAAUCCCACGGCUCAACCGUGGAACUGCCUUUGAUACUGCUUAGCUUGAAUCCGGGAGAGGGUGGCGGAAUUCCAGGUGUAGGAGUGAAAUCCGUAGAUAUCUGGAGGAACAUCAGUGGCGAAGGCGGCCACCUGGACCGGUAUUGACGCUGAGGUGCGAAAGCGUGGGGAGCAAACAGG